GACGAACGCUGGUGGCGUGCCUAAUACAUGCAAGUCGAACGCACUCUCGUUUAGAUUGAAGGAGUUUGCUCCUGAUUGAUAAACAUUUGAGUGAGUGGCGGACGGGUGAGUAACACGUGGGUAACCUGCCCUAAAGUGGGGGAUAACAUUUGGAAACAGAUGCUAAUACCGCAUAAAACCUAACACCGCAUGGUGUAGGGUUGAAAGAUGGUUUCGGCUAUCACUUUAGGAUGGACCCGCGGUGCAUUAGUUAGUUGGUGAGGUAAAGGCUCACCAAGACCGUGAUGCGUAGCCGACCUGAGAGGGUGAUCGGCAACACUGGGACUGAGACACGGCCCAGACUCCUACGGGAGGCAGCAGUAGGGAAUCUUCCACAAUGGACGAAAGUCUGAUGGAGCAACGCCGCGUGAGUGAAGAAGGUUUUCGGAUCGUAAAACUCUGUUGUUGGAGAAGAAUGUAUCUGAUAGUAACUGAUCAGGUAGUGACGGUAUCCAACCAGAAAGCCACGGCUAACUACGUG
RNAcentral lists this ribosomal RNA (520 nucleotides) under uncultured bacterium. Its description in RNAcentral is "partial 16S ribosomal RNA". It matches the Rfam family "Bacterial small subunit ribosomal RNA", at positions 28 to 507 of the family's 1533-position model. The record is from RNAcentral.